ACUUAAAUUGAAGAGUUUGAUCAUGGCUCAGAUUGAACGCUGGCGGCAGGCCUAACACAUGCAAGUCGAGCGGUAGCACAGAGAGCUUGCUCUCGGGUGACGAGCGGCGGACGGGUGAGUAAUGUCUGGGAAACUGCCUGAUGGAGGGGGAUAACUACUGGAAACGGUAGCUAAUACCGCAUAACGUCGCAAGACCAAAGUGGGGGACCUUCGGGCCUCAUGCCAUCAGAUGUGCCCAGAUGGGAUUA
Molecule: ribosomal RNA, 248 nt
Filed under: Klebsiella pneumoniae
Lineage: Bacteria; Pseudomonadati; Pseudomonadota; Gammaproteobacteria; Enterobacterales; Enterobacteriaceae
Description: partial 16S ribosomal RNA
Rfam family: Bacterial small subunit ribosomal RNA
Source: RNAcentral